UACGUAGGGACCAAGCGUUGUUCGGAUUUACUGGGCGUAAAGGGCGCGUAGGCGGCUUAACAAGUCACUUGCGAAAUCUCCGGGCUUAACUCGGAACGGCCAAGUGAAACUGUCAAGCUAGAGUGCAGAAGGGGCAAUCGGAAUUCUUGGUGUAGCGGUGAAAUGCGUAGAUAUCAAGAGGAACACCUGAGGUGAAGACGGGUUGCUGGGCUGACACUGACGCUGAGGCGCGAAAGCGUGGGGAGCAAACAGG
This 253-nucleotide ribosomal RNA is filed under the name uncultured bacterium. RNAcentral's name for it is "partial 16S ribosomal RNA". It matches the Rfam family "Bacterial small subunit ribosomal RNA", at positions 524 to 776 of the family's 1533-position model. The record is from RNAcentral.